AGUCCUGCCUGGCCGGGUCGGACGAUUCGCGGCCUAUCAGCUUGUUGGUGGGGUAGUGGCUCACCAAGGCUUUGACGGGUAGCCGGCCUGAGAGGGCGACCGGCCACACUGGGACUGAGAUACGGCCCAGACUCCUACGGGAGGCAGCAGUGGGGAAUAUUGCACAAUGGGCGAAAGCCUGAUGCAGUAACGCCGCGUGCGGGAUGACGGCCUUCGGGUUGUAAACCGCUUUCACCAGGGGCGAAUUUGACGGUACCUGGAGAAGAAGCACCGGCUAACUACGUGCCAGCAGCCGCGGUGAUACGUAGGGUGCGAGCGUUGUCCGGAUUUAUUGGGCGUAAAGAGCUCGUAGGUGGUUUGUUGCGUCGGGAGUGAAAACACACAGCUUAACUGUGUGCUUGCUUUCGAUACGGGCAGACUUGAGGGAUGUAGGGGAGAACGGAAUUCCUGGUGGAGCGGUGGAAUGCGCAGAUAUCAGGAGGAACACCGGUGGCGAAGGCGGUUCUCUUGACAUUUCCUGACGCUGAGGAGCGAAAGCGUGGGGAGCAAACAGGCUUAGAUACCCUGGUAGUCCACGCCGUAAACGGUGGGCACUAGGUGUGGGGGACAUUCCACGUUCUCCGUGCCGUAGCUAACGCAUUAAGUGCCCCGCCUGGGGAGUACGGAAU
This 668-nucleotide ribosomal RNA is filed under the name uncultured bacterium. Its description in RNAcentral is "bacterial SSU rRNA". It matches the Rfam family "Bacterial small subunit ribosomal RNA", at positions 202 to 888 of the family's 1533-position model. The record is from RNAcentral.